ACUCCUACGGGAGGCAGCAGUAGGGAAUAUUGCGCAAUGGCCUAACGGCUGACGCAGCAACGCCGCGUGGAUGAAGAAGCUUUUCGAAGCGUAAAGUCCUUUCAGCGGGGAAGAAUGGGUCUUCGGACCCUUGACGGUACCCGCAGAAGAAGCACCGGCUAACUCCGUGCCAGCAGCCGCGGUAAUACGGGGGGUGCAAGCGUUGUUCGGAUUUACUGGGCGUAAAGCGCACGCAGGCGGGCUGUCAAGUCGGAUGUGAAAACCAGGAGCUUAACUCCUGGCCUGCAUUCGAAACUGGCAGUCUUGAGUACCGGAGAGGAUGGCGGAAUUCCUGGUGUAGCGGUGAAAUGCGUAGAUAUCAGGAAGAACACCGGUGGCGAAGGCGGCCAUCUGGACGGAUACUGACGCUCAGGUGCGAAGGCUAGGGGAGCAAACAGGAUUAGAUACCCUGGUAGUCCUAGCGGUAAACGAUGGGCACUAGGUGUUGGUGGUAUCGACUCCACCAGUGCCGCAGCUAACGCAUUAAGUGCCCCGCCUGGGGAGUACGGCCGCAAGGCUGAAACUCAAAGGAAUUGACGGGGGCCCGCACAAGCGGUGGAGUAUGUGGUUUAAUUCGACGCAACGCGAAGAACCUUACCUGGGUUUGACACGCGCAGGAAAACUACAGAGAUGUAGUCCCCUUUUCGGANGUCUGUGCACANGUGCUGCAUGGCUGUCGUCAGCUCGUGCCGUGAGGUGUUGGGUUAAGUCCCGCAACGAGCGCAACCCCNGUUCUUANUUGCCAUCNNNUUAUGCUGGGCACUCUAAGGAGACUGCCGGUGA
This 822-nucleotide ribosomal RNA is filed under the name uncultured bacterium. Its description in RNAcentral is "bacterial SSU rRNA". It matches the Rfam family "Bacterial small subunit ribosomal RNA", at positions 335 to 1158 of the family's 1533-position model. The record is from RNAcentral.